GAUGAAGAACGCAGCGAAAUGCGAUAAGUAAUGUGAAUUGCAGAAUUCAGUGAAUCAUCGAAUCUUUGAACGCACAUUGCGCCCGCCAGUAUUCUGGCGGGCAUGCCUGUUCGAGCGUCAUUUCAACCAUCAAGCCCCCCGGCUUGUGUUGGGGACCUGCGGCUGCCGCAGGCCCUGAAAAGCAGUGGCGGGCUCGCUGUCACACCGAGCGUAGUAGAUCUCAUCUCGCUCAGGGCGUGCUGCGGGUUCCGGCCGUUAAACCACCUUCAUAACCCUAGGUUGACCUCGGAUCAGGUAGGAAGACCCGCUGAACUUAAGCAUAUCAAUAAGCGAGGA
This 336-nucleotide unclassified non-coding RNA is filed under the name soil metagenome. RNAcentral's name for it is "partial contains 5.8S ribosomal RNA, internal transcribed spacer 2, and large subunit ribosomal RNA". The stretch from base 1 to 120 matches the Rfam family "5.8S ribosomal RNA", at positions 35 to 154 of the family's 154-position model. The record is from RNAcentral.